GACGCGAAGGGAGCAUCCGGACUGAAGGCGACGCGAUUAUGCGUGAGAAAGAAAGGCAGUAGCGGCCUGCGACAUCGGCGUUUCUUUGUGAUAGUGUGUUUACUAUGCCUACGACGGCCGUCAUUCGUGGCCAACGAGAAAACAUCUUCCAUUCGGCCUGACCAGUGAUGAAGUGGACUUUUUUUUCGGCGGAAUCCAUCGUCAACAUCGUCCAUCCACUACGUAAACGAAAUGGCGUGCCCAGAGUACACAUCGUGACAGCGCUCCGCCUUCAAACCGAGGGCCUUUUGCAAGGCGGAUGGACGGCUCAUAUAAAAGUUAGUCAGUAUGAAGCAAUUGCAUGGGAACCGGCUGAUUGUCUUGGGCCUACACAUUGCUCAAAAGACAGGGAAGGUGUCUGAGCCGACAGGUAGAAAACAAGCAGAUGGCUACAGCGAUCAAUGAAGAAAUGGCUUCAUCUAUGAUGGCUCUCCUUAGGACAUUGGAAUGGAGCUACACAAAGGCAUCACCAGCCUCGCCUGUUCCCUGGAACAUUGGUUUGAAUAAGACUGUUCUUCAGUGUUGAACGACCACAAGACUUGUCACCACAUACAAGGCGUAGUGCAAGCUCUAAAUAUUGUACAGGUGGCUAGAAUAAAUGACCCUCCAUGCAGUCA
This 656-nucleotide long non-coding RNA is filed under the name Dermacentor andersoni. RNAcentral's name for it is "uncharacterized LOC126531472". The record is from RNAcentral. Lineage: Eukaryota; Metazoa; Arthropoda; Arachnida; Ixodida; Ixodidae.